Molecule: transfer RNA, 74 nt
Filed under: bacterium
Lineage: Bacteria
Also listed under: 1 other name
Description: tRNA-Trp
Rfam family: tRNA
About the family: Transfer RNA (tRNA) molecules are approximately 80 nucleotides in length.
Source: RNAcentral
AGGAGUGUAGCUCAAUUGGUAGAGCACCGGUCUCCAAAACCGGGGGUUGCAGGUUCAAGUCCUGUCACUCCUGC